Molecule: long non-coding RNA, 663 nt
Organism: Daucus carota subsp. sativus
Lineage: Eukaryota; Viridiplantae; Streptophyta; Magnoliopsida; Apiales; Apiaceae
Exons: 4
Source: RefSeq, a predicted model, not a curated record
AUGACUACUUCACCCACUCUAUAACUCAUCUAAUUACAAAUACGCCACUGAAGUAUACGUUCAAUCGUUCCAAACCGUUGAUUACUCGCACGUGUCGCUCAUCGGUCUUUCCGUAUCUGUAUCAGCUCAAAUCAAGUUUCUACUCUAAACAUCUACUUUCAAAAAAUCAGACUCAUCGGCUCAUCUGUUUUAGGGUAAAGCUUCAUCUCCUUCAAAUUUUGUUCGAUUUACAUUGCAACUGCGGCAGAUUCGUAAUUGAUGGAUUCUUUGGAACGGAGUAAUCUUCAUUCGCCGGCUCCGGAGUUGAAACGGAGUACUCUCAAAUCGUCGCCUCCACAGUUGGGUAUGCAAUACCCUUUGGACUGAAUUCUAAAUAUGCUCAUCCAGAUGAGAUACUGUUUCUUGGUUUUGCUACUAUUACUGGUCCUGCCAUCACUGGACCCCAUUUGAUCACUCUGUGGUUGUGGAUGUAGUGAGAGUCCUCGAAACUGCUGAAGCACAUUGUGGUUACCAUUUCUCCUGGAGCAUUUCAAACUUCUUGCCCUUAUAUGGGGGGUUAGUAUAAUUCUCACAUCUAGCUUUCUUAUAGUUGUUCCUAUAUUUGUUCAUUAUCCUUAUUGUAUAUUCCACCUCACAAGUAUGUUUGAUUCAUUCCCAGACUUU